UAUUUANGGGAAACUCGGCAUGGUUUAGGCGUGCAAACCGAGCGAGAAGUCUACUUCGGUAGGCGGACAGCGGCGAAAGGGACAGUAAUGUGUAGGCACCUACCCUUGGGUCCGGGAUAGCUGCGGGAAACCGCAGGUAAUACCGGAUAACAUCUCCGGAUCAAAGGUGUGAUUCCGCCCGAAGAGGGGCCUACAUCCUAUUAGCUUGUUGGUGAGGUAACGGCUCACCAAGGCGACGAUGGGUAACGGGUGUGAGAGCAUGACCCGUGUCAUUGGGACUGAGACACUGCCCAGACACCUACGGGUGGCUGCAGUCGAGAAUCUUCGGCAAUGGGCUAAAGCCUGACCGAGCGAUGCCGCGUGCGGGAUGAAGGCCCUCGGGUUGUAAACCGCUGUCAACGAGGAGGAAGUGCAAGGGGGUUCUCCCUUUUGUUUGACCUAUUCGAGAAGGAAGUACGGGCUAAGUUCGUGCCAGCAGCCGCGGUAAGACGAACCGUACAAACGUUAUUCGGAAUUAUUGAGCUUAAAGGGUGCGUAGGCUGCGCGGAAAGUUGGGUGUGAAAGCCCUCGGCUCAACCGAGGAAUUGCGCCCCAAACUACCGUGCUCGAGGGAGACAGAGGUGAGCGGAACUCAGGGUGGAGCGGUGAAAUGCGUUGAUAUCUUGANGAACACCGGUGG
RNAcentral lists this ribosomal RNA (679 nucleotides) under uncultured Planctomycetota bacterium. RNAcentral describes it as "bacterial SSU rRNA". It matches the Rfam family "Bacterial small subunit ribosomal RNA", at positions 21 to 715 of the family's 1533-position model. Lineage: Bacteria; Pseudomonadati; Planctomycetota. The record is from RNAcentral.